UACGUAGGGACCGAGCGUUGUCCGGAAUCAUUGGGCGUAAAGAGCGUGUAGGCGGCCAACUAAGUCCUGCGUGAAAUCUCGGGGCUCAACCCCGAGCGGUCGUGGGAAACUGGUUGGCUAGAGUGCGGGAGAGGAGAGUGGAAUUCCUGGUGUAGCGGUGAAAUGCGCAGAUAUCGGGAGGAACACCAAUGGCGAAGGCAGCUCGCUGGGACGGUACUGACGCUGAGACGCGAAAGCGUGGGGAGCAAACAGG
Molecule: ribosomal RNA, 253 nt
Filed under: uncultured bacterium
Lineage: Bacteria
Description: partial 16S ribosomal RNA
Rfam family: Bacterial small subunit ribosomal RNA
Source: RNAcentral